CAGCAACAUAUCAAACUACAGCUGAAGUCGGAGUUCUCUAUCACUCAACAAAUAUGGGAUUUGUUAUGGAGGUUCUAGAAAUUCACCUUGAGUCAAAGGGAUGGGGGCAGUGCCGACCCAGUGUUGCUGCUGCACGACCAACUGAUGUGCAAUUAAGAUGGAGGCGGCGCGACCUCUAUCUGUUGAGGUGCGACUUGUUGCUGCGACCUGCAGAUGGGGGUAGGUUUGUCGAUCUUAGAAGAGGGUGCGGGUGGAAACGGUCGGAGAAGAAGCUGUCGGUGGCGCCCUUCGGAGCAGAGGGUGUCGGUGGCGCCAGUCAAUGUAGGGUGAAGGGGCACCGUCGGGGUUGGUAUGAGAGAGGAGUGAGAGAGAAAUAAAUUUGACUUAUAAUCAUGAACUUAAUAUGUCAUAUUAUGAUGUAGAGGUGAAGAGCUAACAUAUAAUCUAUUCGAGUAUGAAAUGCGAGAUAGUAUUAUUAUC
Molecule: long non-coding RNA, 480 nt
Organism: Solanum pennellii
Lineage: Eukaryota; Viridiplantae; Streptophyta; Magnoliopsida; Solanales; Solanaceae
Exons: 2
Source: RefSeq, a predicted model, not a curated record